This 253-nucleotide ribosomal RNA is filed under the name uncultured bacterium. RNAcentral describes it as "partial 16S ribosomal RNA". It matches the Rfam family "Bacterial small subunit ribosomal RNA", at positions 524 to 776 of the family's 1533-position model. The record is from RNAcentral.
UACGUAGGUGGCUAGUGUUGUACGGAAUUACCGGGUGUAAAGGGCGUGUAGGCGGGGCUGCAAGUCGGAUGUGAAAUUCCCAGGCUCAAGCUGGGGGCUGCAUCUGAAACUGUGGUUCUUGAGUGCUGGAGAGGAAAGCGGAAUUCCUAGUGUAGCGGUGAAAUGCGUAGAUAUUAGGAGGAACACCAGUGGCGAAGGCGGCUUUCUGGACAGUAACUGACGCUGAGGCGCGAAAGCGUGGGGAGCAAACAGG